UACGUAGGGCGCAAGCGUUAUCCGGAUUUAUUGGGCGUAAAGAGCUCGUAGGCGGUUUGUCGCGUCUGCCGUGAAAGUCCGAGGCUCAACCUCGGAUCUGCGGUGGGUACGGGCAGACUAGAGUGAUGUAGGGGAGACUGGAAUUCCUGGUGUAGCGGUGAAAUGCGCAGAUAUCAGGAGGAACACCGAUGGCGAAGGCAGGUCUCUGGGCAUUUACUGACGCUGAGGAGCGAAAGCAUGGGGAGCGAACAGG
Molecule: ribosomal RNA, 253 nt
Filed under: uncultured bacterium
Lineage: Bacteria
Also listed under: 2 other names
Description: partial 16S ribosomal RNA
Rfam family: Bacterial small subunit ribosomal RNA
Source: RNAcentral